CUAUAUACAGUAGAGAGGCUAUAUACAGUAGAGAGGCUAUAUACAGUAGAGAGGCUAUAUACAGUAGAGGCUAUAUACAGUAGAGAGGCUAUAUACAGUAGAGGGGCUAUAUACAGUAGAGAGGCUAUAUACAGUAGAGAGGCUAUAUACAGUAGAGAGGCUAUAUACAGUAGAGAGGCUAUAUAUAGUAGAGAGGCUACAUACAGUAGAGAGGCUAUAUACAGUAGAGAGGCUAUAUACAGUAGAGAGGCUAUAUACAGUAAAAAGACAGGCUAUAUACAGUAGAGAGGCUAUAUACAGUAGAGAGGCUAUAUACAGUAGUGAGGCUACAUACAGACACCGGUUAGUCAGGCUGAUUGAGGUAGUAUGUACAUGUAGAUAUGGUUAAAGUGACUAUGCAUAUAUGAUGAACAGAGAGAAGCAGUAGCGUAAAAGGGGGCGGGUGGUGGGUCACAAUGCAGAUAGUCUGGUUAACCAAUGAGCGG
This 485-nucleotide long non-coding RNA is filed under the name Salmo salar (Atlantic salmon). RNAcentral describes it as "lncRNA (ENSSSAG00000095265.1)". Lineage: Eukaryota; Metazoa; Chordata; Actinopteri; Salmoniformes; Salmonidae. The record is from RNAcentral.